RNAcentral lists this ribosomal RNA (253 nucleotides) under uncultured bacterium. RNAcentral's name for it is "partial 16S ribosomal RNA". It matches the Rfam family "Bacterial small subunit ribosomal RNA", at positions 524 to 776 of the family's 1533-position model. The record is from RNAcentral.
UACGUAGGUGGCAAGCGCUGUCCGGAAUUACUGGGUGUAAAGGGAGCGUAGGCGAGGAGCCAAGUUGGAUGUGAAAUACCGCAGCUUAACUGCGGGGCUGCAUCCAAAACUGGUUCUCUUGAGUGAAGUAGAGGUAGGCGGAAUUCCUAGUGUAGCGGUGGAAUGCGUAGAUAUUAGGAGGAACACCAGUGGCGAAGGCGGCCUACUGGGCUUUAACUGACGCUGAGGCUCGAAAGCGUGGGGAGCAAACAGG